Molecule: transfer RNA, 77 nt
Filed under: Candidatus Saccharimonadota bacterium
Lineage: Bacteria; Candidatus Saccharimonadota
Also listed under: 3 other names
Description: tRNA-Arg
Rfam family: tRNA
About the family: Transfer RNA (tRNA) molecules are approximately 80 nucleotides in length. Their secondary structure includes four short double-helical elements and three loops (D, anti-codon, and T loops).
Source: RNAcentral
GUGCCCGUAGCUCAGCUGGAUAGAGCGUUUGCUUGCGGAGCAAAAGGUCGUAGGUUCGAAUCCUGUCGGGCAUACCA